This is a long non-coding RNA of Octopus sinensis (East Asian common octopus), 220 nucleotides long. RefSeq lists it as uncharacterized. The record is from RefSeq and is a predicted model, not a curated record. NCBI's taxonomy places the organism in Eukaryota, Metazoa, Mollusca, Cephalopoda, Octopoda, Octopodidae. The transcript is spliced from 2 exons.
AUUCAUUCAUUCAUCAUAAACACUGGUGUACUUUUAGAACAUGUGAUGGAUGUAAAUAUUUUAUAUCCUUGAAUAUCAUCAAAUAUCGCAAAACACUGAAUGCAGAAGGUUUAAUUUUAUUGAUAUGUGUACUAUAGAAUCGCUAAACCGUCGGGGAAAAUACUUGCAGUAAAUAAUGAUGUUCCAAGCAGAAGCAAUGUGCUAUCAUUGAGUUCUUGAC